CCAGGUCUUGACAUCCUUUGAAGCUUUUAGAGAUAGAAGUGUUCUCUUCGGAGACAAAGUGACAGGUGGUGCAUGGUCGUCGUCAGCUCGUGUCGUGAGAUGUUGGGUUAAGUCCCGCAACGAGCGCAACCCUUAUUGUUAGUUGCCAGCAUUCAGAUGGGCACUCUAGCGAGACUGCCGGUGACAAACCGGAGGAAGGCGGGGACGACGUCAGAUCAUCAUGCCCCUUAUGACCUGGGCUACACACGUGCUACAAUGGCGUAUACAACGAGUUGGCAACCCGCGAGGGUGAGCUAAUCUCUUAAAGUACGUCUCGACCGGGGAUUGUAGUCUGCAACUCGACUACAUGAAGUCGGA
Molecule: ribosomal RNA, 357 nt
Filed under: uncultured Leuconostoc sp.
Lineage: Bacteria; Bacillati; Bacillota; Bacilli; Lactobacillales; Lactobacillaceae
Description: bacterial SSU rRNA
Rfam family: Bacterial small subunit ribosomal RNA
Source: RNAcentral